GCAGGCGUGGUCUAGUGGUAGGACUAGGGCCUUCCAAGCCCUCAGCGCGGGUUCGACUCCCGCCGCCUGCACCA
Molecule: transfer RNA, 74 nt
Filed under: Pseudomonadales bacterium
Lineage: Bacteria; Pseudomonadati; Pseudomonadota; Gammaproteobacteria; Pseudomonadales
Also listed under: 3 other names
Description: tRNA-Gly
Rfam family: tRNA
About the family: Transfer RNA (tRNA) molecules are approximately 80 nucleotides in length.
Source: RNAcentral